Long non-coding RNA from Mus musculus (house mouse), 785 nucleotides. RefSeq annotates it as predicted gene, 54258. The record is from RefSeq and is a predicted model, not a curated record. The transcript has 2 exons. NCBI's taxonomy places the organism in Eukaryota, Metazoa, Chordata, Mammalia, Rodentia, Muridae.
CAGGCAUCCUCUUGGCUGCCCAAGUCCUAGAGAUGCUUACUCUUCUCCAGCUGGGAGGUUGUCUUCAAUCCGCCUGAUGAACCUCAUCCUGAUUUCUGUCACGCCAUCUCCCUUCAGAGUGUCCUGGACAAACUUGGCCUCCACAGCCAUCUGGACCUGAGGAAUAGAAUGGACAGAUGCCAAACCAUAGCCUGUGGGACCCCUCAGUGAAGCUAGAGACAGGAUUGCCAGCCCCAAUACUCUAACACCAAAGACAGUGACACCGCAAGCAAGCAAGAGCCCUCAAGCCUCUUAGACUGUGACCAGGUAACCAGUGGGAGACAGGGCUACCGUCCACGUUUGCAGGGAGCAGCACUGUCUCGGCAGUGUCAGGAAGGAGGGACUGUGCCUAGGCAGAGGUGUCUGACUUGGAUCUUGUCUCGGCAGCACGAUUCCCUUGGAGGCUGGGUAAGCCAAAGCCCUUUCUCUCCUCCUCUCAGCCAUGCAGCUACCAAACAGCCAGCGAGCUCGGAUGCUGUAGGAGGUAGAGAUGCUCUACUCACCAUCUCCAGGGCUCCCCGCAACACCCCACACAGGAGGUUGGAGUAAAUGAGGGCCGAGUGGUUAUCGGGAAGCUCCACAAAGUCCACCAGAGGGUUGUUUUCCAGGAUGAGGGAGAAUUCAUCUCCGGCUGGGCUCCAGUUGGUGAUGCUUGGAGUGAUGCCCAGGUACAUCUUGAACGCCACCUGUCGGGGACACACAACAGCACAAUGGGGAACGGUGACAACUAUGCCAUUGGGAAGGGG